This 482-nucleotide ribosomal RNA is filed under the name uncultured bacterium. RNAcentral describes it as "partial 16S ribosomal RNA". It matches the Rfam family "Bacterial small subunit ribosomal RNA", at positions 30 to 507 of the family's 1533-position model. The record is from RNAcentral.
AUUGAACGCUGGCGGCAUGCCUUACUCAUGCAAGUCGAACGGUAACGGGCCUUCGGGUGCCGACGAGUGGCGAACGGGGGAGUAAUACAUCGGAACGUGCCCGAUCGUGGGGGAUAACGAGGCGAAAGCUUUGCUAAUACCGCAUACGAUCUACGGAUGAAAGCAGGGGACCGCAAGGCCUUGCGCGGACGGAGCGGCCGGUGGCAGAUUAGGUAGUUGGUGGGAUAAAAGCUUACCAAGCCGGCGAUCUGUAGCUGGGCUGAGAGGAUGAUCAGCCACACUGGGACUGAGACACGGCCCAGACUCCUACGGGAGGCAGCAGUGGGGAAUUUUGGACAAUGGGCGCAGGCCUGAUCCAGCCAUGCCGCGUGCAGGAUGAAGGCCUUCGGGUUGUAAACUGCUUUUGUACGGAACGAAAAGCCUUCUUUUAAUACAGGAGGGUCAUGACGGUACCGUAAGAAUAAGCACCGGCUAACUACGUG